UCACAUAGGCUGGGCUGAGGCCAGAGAUCCCGGGGUGAGCACCUGGUGCUCCUGACACACAGCAAGCUCUCACCAGUGUGUUAUUUCCCCACAUCGACCCGAGGCCUGUUCCCCAGGGUCUGAAGGGCAAGUUUCCUUGUGAUCACUCCAGGUGGGGAGUGUGCACCAUCCCUGUGAUCAAUGGAAAGCACUUGUGUUAAUUUAUAAACCUGGGCACAGAGCAGCAGGAGACAUGGAGCGGUUCUGUGUAAAGUCCACAAGUGAUUCUGAAUAUUCGUUUAUUUAAUCUUUUCUCAAUUUAUUUCUACCACGUAUACCUCUAAAUAUGUGUCCUUUCUUAAAUUUAUACAGUGCUAACAGAUGUUUUAAAAUUUAUGUUUCUGAGCAUUUACUGAAUCAAGCAGCCAUGUGCCCCCCGCCCAGUCUACUGACCUGAGCGCAGGUCUACCGUGUUGAGCAGCACACUCUCUGAGCCUCAGAUCCCCUGUUUAGAGAUGGUGAACUCUCCACUCAGAGGUGAGAACACUCUGCAGAAACGCUCUAGCUACGUUCAUUAGUUUUGGAAAACCACAGAAGAAAUGCCCCUGAGAGCCCAGGGGAGAGAGAAAUGGACGACGAAGCUAGAAGGAAAUUCCACAUCUCUGAGAUGAAGAGAAGACACUAAGGCACAAAUAAAUACAUAAAUAAGCGUUAUGAUCCCUAAGAUUGGAAAUGAUGUGAAGAGUAAACACAUCAGAACCAUUAAAGAGAUGUGCCAGAUGCAAAUAAGAAAGAAGCCCCAACCUUGGCAGAAGAGGAAGUUCAAGGAAACGUGGGCUCCGGCUCUGAGCCCGGGAACGCAGGAUCACAGGGCGGCAGCUGAACCUGUGCAGGAGGCGAGCUCAGCGCGGUCGUGAAGGCACCUUCGCCUGCUGUCCCGACUCCUGUCCUAUGACAAGAGCUGCUCUGACUAACGCACACACAGGCCUGCAGCCGUCACACACCACCCCGCGUCUCAGUGGCUUAAAACCACUGUGCGUUUCUCACCCGCGCCUCACGUCCCUCCUGGACUGACAGCGGUGCUCCGCUCGGCACGGGCUCCAGGACGCAGGCUGCUGCGGCCAGUCACCACGCCACUGGGAGGGGGGUGCGGAGGAGCUGGACAAGGAAGUCAGAAGUGCCUCGGGCCGCCUCGAGUCAGCAACCCCAUCGUCCCAGGCGGUGAGACCAACUCCAAGACCCGGGCUCGCCCUGCACUGUGAGGCCCAGAGGAGGGGGCCUCAGGGGCAGACAGGGUCUGGGAGGGCUCCCCAGGGGUCUCAGGGGAGGACCGCCUUGCAGGUAAAGGGGAGCUGGGGGAAGGCCCAGCCUCCGACGUUUCUGGAGGUGCGGAGGUCUCAGUGCCCCGCAGGGCUCAGCCUGUGCCUUGGGUUCCUGCUUCUCCGCUGCUGGUGUGGAUUCUCCCCAGCAGCACCGAGGGGGGACCGCAGGGUCGUGGGGUCGAGGGGGGUGACAGGACGGACCUGUCACCACGGGAGUGCGCUCGCCUCCUCUGGACCCAGGACCGUGAGGCGGUUGUGACCCCAUCUCAGGCCUUCCUUCUGGGAGACGUCCCGCCAGUCUCUCCUUCUGAUUCCAGAGCUUUGCGUGUCAUUAGGCAGCAUCCCUGGUUUCCAGAUCGAGUGGAGAAGCACAGGCUGUCUGACACCUCACGAAGUCUGUGGAUGACUCACCAGCUUCGGAGUUCACAGAGCAGGUUAAAAUUUCAAAUUCCCUCAGAGCCUCCAGACGUUCUGGAGCUCAGUAUGUUUUAUCUUCAAUCAACGCACAAACCCCGCAUCUUCACGCGGAGACACUCAGGCCUCAGGCUUCCAACUACGAAAGCACCACCUUGAGGAGGACGUCACGGUGGACCCGGAGAGGCGCUGGCCCGUGGCUGGGCUGUGGGGAGACUGGUGGGAAUCCACGGGACAAGGGGCGGGAUGGCCAAGCUCUGCCCGGGACAGUCCGGGUGGCCUUAGUCCGCGGGUCUCCAGCUCUGUCCAGGACUGUCCGGGUGGCCUCAGUCCCGUGGGUCUCAUGCUCUGGCUGAGGUCGGCGGGUCUGGAAGCCGCAGGUCCAGGACCGGAAGUCAGGAGGAAAGGCCACAGGCCACGUCCCCGCCUCUCCUCCCGUCAGGGUCUCUGUUUGGGGCAGCCGGGGCCUCGGGACAGUGACCUAGACUCCCUGUAGGACACCGGGAGUGGCCUCCAGCAUCCCCCUCUUCUUCCAGGAGCCCCCAGCUUUCAUCAGGAAUCCGCCAUCCCCCCAUCCCACCCAGACCAGUGAUCCUGGAUGGGCUCCCUUGGCUCCAGGGGGCGCUGUGAUCUCGUCAGUUCAAGCGAAGGUGGGCCCUGGCUGCAGUGAUUGGUUCAGGGAUGUCACAUGACCUGGGUGUGUCCAAUCAGAGUGAAGGUCUGGACUUGCCUGCCAGCCAACAGGAAAGGUUCUUACACUAUCCACUGGCUGUGUCCUGACUGCCGGGAUUGGUUCAGGGACGUCAUAUGACCUCCGCCUGUCCAAUCAGAGUGAGUGUCAGGAGCAGCCAGGCUAACAGGAAAGCCUUGGCCGUGAGAGGAGGUGAGGACGGCGCUCCGCCACCAUCUUGUCGCCGUCGAGGGGCCUAGAGGUGUCAGAUGAGAGAGAUGGGGUCCCGUUCAUGAAGCCAGACGGCCGAGGUGCAAACCAGAGUCCGUGACGUCGUGGAGCCCUGGAUCUGGGGUCCCGAGGGGCCUGCCCACCGCUGCCCCGGCCCGCGGAGCGGACGCAGCCGUCUCUCAGCCGGUGGGCGGCCGAGGGCCUGUCGUCGCCGCGAGCUACGCCUGGUCGGAGGGCGGCUUGGCCUCGAGAGCAGCCCCGCCGAGGCCCGGCCCCAGAAGACAGGGCAGGGCGGUGAGGCGGGCGGUGGGUACGGACGUCGCGGCGGCUCCUGCGGUCCCCGCGACCCAGGACGGCCCGAGGCCGGCGUGUCCGAGUCUCCGCCGGCCCACCUCUCUGCCCUCGGCCCACGGCGGCAGCGUGUGACGGGGCCGCUCCCGGACAGUCCCGGGGAGCUGGUGGGAGGACCACCCGACGCCGCAGGAAGUGGAUCCGGUCAGCAAGACGCGUGACACGGCCAAAAACAAGGAAAAACAACUGAAGUUACAUGGGGAUCUGGAAUUAGAACAGCCUGCCUCAAAAUUGAACAGAAGGUGUUUUCAGAUCGUCCCCAAGCCAGCUAAGGAAAUGUUCGAGCAGCAGUAAUAUGGCCCUCACCUACAAUAAAGAACGGGAGGCCUGGGGAUUCAUUUCCGGGAGAAAAUGCUUCAUGCAGAUGGCUAGGCAUCUCGUGCUGAAGAAUCUGUAAAUUAAGGGAAACUUUGGAAUUAAAAUAAACACUGAUUUGAUCUGUUCCCUUCAUAUUCCCCAAUCUUUUCCUGCCCUUUUCUCAGGUAGAGACAAUUGAUCAAGUCUAGAAUGUACUUAAGGGUAUAGAAUCCUUGACUAGAAAUUAAUAAUCAUUGGGGAAUGGGGUACAGAGAGGUGAUAGGGAUGGGGAGGAUUUCCCAGCUGUAUGCCAAUGAGAUGGCUCCAACUGGGAUAAUAUUCAGCAGGGCGUUGGACCAUCAGAAUAGAACAUGGACACUCAGACACCUCUCAUGAACCCAGCACAAACACAGCAGUGCGUCCAGCUGAGUAUCUGUCCAGGGGUCAUAAUCCCAGGCCACAUUGCUUGUCCCGCCACCCCAAGGAGGUGGGUCAGGAGAUGAGGUACCUGAAGGAGCCAAGACCAAGCCCCUCUUCUGCCUACAUGACUGGACACUCAGUUUGAGAGAGGACUGUGUGGUGGGACAGCAGCCCAAGUAUGUGUUCUGUCUGUCUGUCUGUGCAGGAGCCUCAGAGACCUCAAGCAGCCUCAGGCUGCAAAGCCAGCUCCUGUCCUCCUCAGACUGGGGUUGACUCCAGGACUAGCUGAUGCUUACAGCCACAGAAAGAGACGUAGUCCCCAAGAGCUAACAGUGUAAUUUGAGCGAAUUAAUUUUUAAUAGUCAAUUGAUGCUUAUUGUAGAAGAUGAUUAGUUCUCACUGGUCCCACUAUGUGUCUCACUGGUCCAAUGUGAGAUUGUGGGAAGAAUAUCAUUUAGUUGCAUCCAAUAUGAGUUUCCUGAAGACUUUAUGGCUAUUUUUCAAGUUAUCGUCUGGGGAUAAAUUUAUGGCAUUGUGCACUGGGCCCUGGAUGUACUGGGCUCCCUGUUGGGCUUGGGCACAGAGCAGAAUGGGGAAGAGUUGUAGGGAGCGGCCCUCGUGCCCCAAGCUGAUUGGCAAAAAUGAGAAAUACUGAUAAUAUCAAGUAUUAGCGAGGUGAGGAAACAGGACUCUUACGCUCCGUUUGUGAGAAUGGAAGUGUGAAUAGCCUUCUGUGGAGAGCAGUCUGGGUGUAUCUGUUAGGACAAGAGUCCACACGCCCUGUGCGUCACCAGUUGCGCUUCGCAGAACCGACCCUAGAGAAACGCUCACAUGUGGACAGAGGAGGCAAGAACUAGAAUAUCCACUGCAGUUGUUGACUGAAAUCGUG
This is a long non-coding RNA of Equus asinus (donkey), 4573 nucleotides long. Lineage: Eukaryota; Metazoa; Chordata; Mammalia; Perissodactyla; Equidae. The record is from Ensembl.